Molecule: ribosomal RNA, 524 nt
Filed under: Salmonella enterica
Lineage: Bacteria; Pseudomonadati; Pseudomonadota; Gammaproteobacteria; Enterobacterales; Enterobacteriaceae
Also listed under: 1 other name
Description: partial 16S ribosomal RNA
Rfam family: Bacterial small subunit ribosomal RNA
Source: RNAcentral
UUCGGGAACUGUGAGACAGGUGCUGCAUGGCUGUCGUCAGCUCGUGUUGUGAAAUGUUGGGUUAAGUCCCGCAACGAGCGCAACCCUUAUCCUUUGUUGCCAGCGGUCCGGCCGGGAACUCAAAGGAGACUGCCAGUGAUAAACUGGAGGAAGGUGGGGAUGACGUCAAGUCAUCAUGGCCCUUACGACCAGGGCUACACACGUGCUACAAUGGCGCAUACAAAGAGAAGCGACCUCGCGAGAGCAAGCGGACCUCAUAAAGUGCGUCGUAGUCCGGAUUGGAGUCUGCAACUCGACUCCAUGAAGUCGGAAUCGCUAGUAAUCGUGGAUCAGAAUGCCACGGUGAAUACGUUCCCGGGCCUUGUACACACCGCCCGUCACACCAUGGGAGUGGGUUGCAAAAGAAGUAGGUAGCUUAACCUUCGGGAGGGCGCUUACCACUUUGUGAUUCAUGACUGGGGUGAAGUCGUAACAAGGUAACCGUAGGGGAACCUGCGGUUGGAUCACCUCCUUACCUGAAAGAA